UCGAACGAGUUCUCGUUGAUGAUCGGUGCUUGCACCGAGAUUCAACAUGGAACGAGUGGCGGACGGGUGAGUAACACGUGGGUAACCUGCCCUUAAGUGGGGGAUAACAUUUGGAAACAGAUGCUAAUACCGCAUAGAUCCAAGAACCGCAUGGUUCUUGGCUGAAAGAUGGCGUAAGCUAUCGCUUUUGGAUGGACCCGCGGCGUAUUAGCUAGUUGGUGAGGUAAUGGCUCACCAAGGCGAUGAUACGUAGCCGAACUGAGAGGUUGAUCGGCCACAUUGGGACUGAGACACGGCCCAAACUCCUACGGGAGGCAGCAGUAGGGAAUCUUCCACAAUGGACGCAAGUCUGAUGGAGCAACGCCGCGUGAGUGAAGAAGGCUUUCGGGUCGUAAAACUCUGUUGUUGGAGAAGAAUGGUCGGCAGAGUAACUGUUGUCGGCGUGACGGUAUCCAACCAGAAAGCCACGGCUAACUACGUGCCAGCAGCCGCGGUAAUACGUAGGUGGCAAGCGUUAUCCGGAUUUAUUGGGCGUAAAGCGAGCGCAGGCGGUUUUUUAAGUCUGAUGUGAAAGCCCUCGGCUUAACCGAGGAAGCGCAUCGGAAACUGGGAAACUUGAGUGCAGAAGAGGACAGUGGAACUCCAUGUGUAGCGGUGAAAUGCGUAGAUAUAUGGAAGAACACCAGUGGCGAAGGCGGCUGUCUGGUCUGUAACUGACGCUGAGGCUCGAAAGCAUGGGUAGCGAACAGGAUUAGAUACCCUGGUAGUCCAUGCCGUAAACGAUGAAUGCUAGGUGUUGGAGGG
RNAcentral lists this ribosomal RNA (804 nucleotides) under uncultured bacterium. RNAcentral describes it as "bacterial SSU rRNA". It matches the Rfam family "Bacterial small subunit ribosomal RNA", at positions 62 to 830 of the family's 1533-position model. The record is from RNAcentral.